GAAAUGCGAUAAGUCAUGUGAAUUGCAGAAUUCAGUGAAUCAUCGAAUCUUUGAACGCACAUUGCGCCCGCCAGCACUCUGGCGGGCCUGCCUGUUCGAGCGUCAUUUCAACCAUCAAGCCCCCGGGCUUGCGUAUGGGACCUGCGGCUGCCCGCAGGCGCUGAAAACCAGUGGCGGGCUCGCUGUCACCCCGGUCGUAGUAGUAUCAUCUCGUCAAGGGCGUGGCUAAGGGCUCCGGCCGUUAAACCUUCUCAAACACAAAGGUUGACCUCGGAUCUGGUAGGAAUACCCGCUGAACUUAA
RNAcentral lists this unclassified non-coding RNA (302 nucleotides) under uncultured Sordariomycetes. RNAcentral describes it as "sequence contains ITS1". The stretch from base 1 to 105 matches the Rfam family "5.8S ribosomal RNA", at positions 50 to 154 of the family's 154-position model. Lineage: Eukaryota; Fungi; Ascomycota; Sordariomycetes. The record is from RNAcentral.